UUUUAAACACCUUUUGGCAGUAGUCUCUGGUGGUACUUGCACAAUCAUCCCAUCGAAACGCAUAUGUGAUUUUGGCCUCAUGUCAAUAACAGACAAGAGACCCAUUUACAAGCAUACAAAGCCAUAAUAGAACAAAGUCAGCGAAACAAAGCCAUAAUACAACACUGGCUUAACGAUAUUAUUACAGAUCCCUAAGCUCAGUCACCAGAGCGACCUUAUUUUGGGGAGCUCUUCUAGGGGAAAUGGCUAGUGUAACAGGUCCCCCAGGGUUCUAGUCUCCCAUCUUCCAUCCUACGACGAAAUCUGCUCUAGUAAUAUCAGUUCUGGAGAUGCUCCAGAAUGAGACGAUUUCCAGUGCAAGGCAAGUGUGCGUCCUGAAAUAAAUAGAAACAUGCAAGAGUAUUAUUCUCUAGUAUGAUUCUAAACAUUCGAUACUUUACAUGGUAAAUACCAAAAGAGGAAACCUCAAGUAGCACUCUUUAGCCAGAACAUUAAGCAGCUCUUACACACAGCAUAUAUUUUUUUUGAAACGGAGGCAAAAGAUUUGCCUCAUCGAUUAAUUAAGAAGAGAGUUGCCCAGUUAAUUAAUGGAAAACCGGGCGAAAAUCAAUACAAACAAACCACAUGCGGACUACUCCCAAAGUCUAAAACCCCGUGAUCACACCGCCGACCCUACAGACAUUGCCAACAUGCAACAGACCCAAGCCCACACGCAGCUACAUCGCAAAGGAAUCCCCAAAAAGAAAACCAUGGAAGUAGACAAAAGGCCCCCCAAAAACCACGAGAUAAGCUAAACCGUGAGGACGGCCCAAAAGACCAAGGAGCAACCAUUAAGCAGCUGUAGACGCCUUCCCUAAGGCAUCACUCUUCUUGUUUUUGCUUUUGAGAGACUUCUCCACCUUCUUGAUCUUGUCUUCAUUAAACUUUCCAGUCAGGAUGCACGCAACCGCCUUACCAGACCCAGGGCUAGCCGCCUCCAAGCUAGAGAGCAAGUUGCAAAGCUUUUUUGCAAAGAGAGCAUCGGAACAAGGUGCCAACGCAUCAGUCCCAACAACGUCUCCACCUGGGGGCACCACUUGCCCAAUGGUCACAGGCGAGUGAGUGACCGCGGCAUCCAAACCUGCACACACCACAAAGUCGGUCUGGCUAGACUCCAAGGGCGGUGGUGAGGGUGUCGUGGGCACCGCCAAAGCCCCUAGCAAGACCAUCUCCUUCGGAAUCGCCACCGAAAGAGGUGGAGUGGACUCCUCACAUAGCACUGUCAACUCAGGCAUAAUUUGUAGAACUGGAGCCACAUCCUCAACGAUCACUUCACCUCCAACGUCAAUCGACACCAUAGAGCAGGGCCUAGCACGAGGAGAGAAACCUCCAUAGAGGUCGACUUCCUCUCCAUCUGCAGAACCAACUUGAAGCUCGGGGAGCAGAGACCCAAUCGGCACAACCUGAAGUUUACCAAGAGCAUCCUCCGCCCUUGCCAAGACACUCUCAACACGCACAAGACAUUCGCGAAGCUCAAUGCAAAGUAGCUCAGCCUGCUGCUCAAGGAUGAGCUGUAAUGACACAUCAGCUUGGAUGACGGAUGCGGGCGGUGGAGCAACACAUGGUUGCGGCGUAGUUUGGUCAACGGGUUGCUUCGCACGGCAAAAGCGAGCAAUGUGGCCGAAACGGAGGCAAUUUCUGCAACGGAUUGGAUCCCUGCAGGAGUGUGCUCGAUGACCCCGACACAGACACCGAAAACAUCUAUCUCUCAACCAUGCCGAAGGAGGCAGCCGUGCAUUGAAGGAAGGGCGAUGAAAAGCCGGAGGAGGCGUCGAACGACGCCCCUUGGAGACGAGCUGCCAGCCCCCCAACUCAUCCCCGCGCGGAGCAGCCGCACAACAGUUGAGAACGGCAGGUGCCUCAUUCUGACGAAAGCAUCCACACCAAUCCCUCCAACCAGGGCGCACGGGCGGGACGACACGGUCACCUCCAGCAACGACCUGCGGCGUAGUAGCAGUGGGCGCCGCAUCCGAGGAUGUCGUCGCCUUCCGCCCCCCAAUGGUCGGGUCCGACCUGCGGGAAGCAAGGGCAGUCGCGGCCAGCGCAGCAGCGGUGGGCGGCGGAGCCGGAGAGUCCACAGUCCCAAGCUCGGGGGAGAGCGGGCGUGGCGGCGACGGAGACGGGAUCUGAGGCAAAAUAAAAACUUCAUCAUAAAAGAAACAUCUAUUUGUUUUGCGGCAAUUACUUGGUCUUGUGGAGUACUAAGAUUGUGCACUUAAUCAACAAUCAUGAACAGGUGCUUCAGAAGGCGGUGUCGCUCAUCAUGCAAUGCAAGGCUCUUCUCUCCGCUAAGUGGAGGAGGGCGGCAAUGGUUAUGAUAGCUAGUAUUCAAAUUCUGGCAUGUUCUGUGACGACUGGUGAAGUCGGGGAUCGACAAGGCGUAAGGAUAGCUUCCCUGUGGUUCCAUCUCAGUGCACGAUCUAUGUAAUAUAUCUUUUUUUUACCUGUGAAGCCAUAGGGGAAGCCCCCUAUGGUAUAUUUUAUAUUAUCAGCAGCUAGGAUAUACAAGGGGGGGUUGAGGGUAGGUAUCCUAAAUGUUUACAUGUUAGAGAAGCCAAAAAGAAAGGAAAACAAACAAAAGGCUAAACUUACAAAGCCCUCUCCAAAUUGAAAAGUUCUCAACCAAGCCAAAAAAGGGUCUCUGUUCUUAUCUUUCACCCUGAAGGAAAUGAGGUGGAGGUUCUUCUUGAAAAGAACUUUCCAGUGAGCUAAAGAAGGCGGCUGCCCUUCAAAAAUCCAUUCCUCUGUCCCAGAUGUUCCAAAGAGCAGCACUAAUGACUUCAACAAACCAAGGCUUCUGAAACUGAGACCUAGCAAGCCUGAUCGUCGCCAAAAAAUUCAAAUGAGCAGCUAAAGAGAUAUUGAGGUAGCUCCAACAAGCCCUGGAAAAAGCACAAUUGAAAAACAAAUGUGCCCUGCCUUCCCCAGUGGCCGAAGAGCACAAAACACCGUUAACUCUGGACUCAAGCCUUUCCAUCAUGUCCCUGGUGUUUAGUCGAUCAACAAGGUGUUUAGUUGAUCAACAAGUAUGUGCAGAAACAGCACGGGUUAUUAUUAUUUAGAUUUAUGGGAGGGCAUCAGUAAUGUACUGAUAUUUGUCAGUUGACCCCAUAGAGCCAGCAAACUAUCUAAUUUUCAGCAAACCGGCGUGGAAGGAAUAACAAUAGAAAGAUAAGGGCAUGGGCAGAUAUUUAAAUGAGCAACAGACUAAGUAAUAUGUACUACCUGUUAUUCCCAGGUUCUUUUUCUUUGACGUCAAACUUCCCACUUCGUUCUCUUCACACACACAUGAAACUUGAAUUUCACAGUCAUGUAACGUAAUUUUUCUCAACAUUUCCUUCCAAGACAAAGGUAUAACAUAGUACUCAUGAAACAUAAGUCCCUUUGACCUGCAGGAAGAAAGCAAACAUGUGGUUAAGGCUAUUAGAACAAUACAAGUGGCACAUGCCGCUGUCAGCGUGGUGGAAAGAAACCACAUAUGGAAGGAACCUACCACUCAAGAUGGUGGCAAUAUGUUGUCAGAUGAUCAGCCAGGGUGAAGGGCCGCACAGAGGGCCGAACCCUCUCCUUCAGGUCAUGUAUGAGGGCAUGCGUUGAUGUCCGCUCGAAUGUCCCGCUGCUUAGAGAAUACACUACACCAGGGUCGAAGUUGGGCAGCGAGAAGUAGAUGGAAUUGCUGCUGAUAGAAGGGAGUUUUGUGGCGGAGACACAUAGGCAUCGGUCUUUGCUAAGGAAGAGCGCCCGGUCACCUAGGCUACUCAACAGAGCCAGUCCUCUUUGGUUUAUAUUCACCAGGAAGAGGGCAAAAGCGAAUGGCUGCCACCCCUUCUUGCUCUGGCUCCAUCGUGUGGUCAAAGACAUCGUGCGCGCUCGAUGCCUCCAGAACGGCGGGUUGUCUAGCGUCAUUUAUAUGUUCAAUUCACCAGGAAGAGGGCAAAAGCGAAUGGCUGCCACCCCUUCUUGCUCUGGCUAACACGACGAUGCUGGACAGCAAGGAGCAUGUAUUCUCUGAAUUCCACAAGGUAGUAGCAACAAAAUGUAGGGCAACCAAACAAGCUGGGAAUACGAGCAACCACUGGGUGCUGCGGGAACAGAGGGUACACCUGCACAAUCUCCCAUGUCCCCUUUCUGAUGCCAAACAGUCUGCCUCGGAAUGGUAAGGCAGUCCAAAGCUCAAGACCUUGGUGUAUGACAGACCAAUGUGGCUUCCCAGGUUCAGCGUAGACCACCACUGGCACAACCGAGAACCAGGCAACGACGGCAAUCGAGGCAUGGGACCGGCAGACUGCGGCUUUCAUCCAAACCAAAUGGUGGAAGAUGGGCGCAAGGGGAGGGAGGUCAAUGAAGACACGGGUGAAUGGAUGCAGGACACGGACAGCGGUGGUGCCCUUGUUGAGCAGGAUGAGGAGGCCAUCAGUGAAGCCGACGACCCGGUGGUUCUGGAGCUCGGACAGACGGGCAUGGAGGCGCCUGCUGGUAGACGUGUGGAAGAGGGUGAUCUCGCAGGCAUCAGCUGGGCGUACGCCGUCGCCGUCACAGAGGGCGACCCAGCCGCGAGGACGGAAGCGGGUUUCCUGCAGCGUGAGAUCGCAGGGGCUGGUGGUGAAGGCACGCCAGUGCGAGCACACAGCGCGGAAGCACAUGUAAUCCGUCACGUCCUCCGCCAGCAGUUGCUCGGCGAUGAUGCGGAUGACGUCCGGAGGGAGGGAGGACCAGUCGGUAGCCUCGGAAGGCUCCCCGGCGGCCUCAGGGCGCUUGCGGUCGGUGAGAGCGGCAGAGGAGCAAGCUUCAGUCCUGCGCUCGCCAUCGCUCCUGGUCUCCGCCGAUGCAAAGACAAAAAGGUCGGGCCUUUCCCUGCGAAGCAAUCUAAAUAUACUACUAGAAUCCUUGUUGGAACUAGACUCGGAUCCGUAAGAAACAGAAUCAAUUGCGCCCCUCCGUCCUCUCUUAUGUAAGCACUCUACAUCUAAGGGGCGGAUCUAUAUGGCAUGAUGACGGGUCUGCACCGGCGCACUCGAAAUUUGUGGAGGUCCUGGAUGGCGAAAAAUCUCAUACCUCAUAAACAAAUCAAAGUCCAAGAGCGGACAGGACAGCAAGGAAAUGGGAACGGCGGCGAUGUUCGGCGACGCCGCACGAGGCGGGAUUGUGCCGGGGGGAGAGGGCGGGGGGCGUUGAUCCAAAGCUAAGAGCAUCUCCAGCCGCCGCCACAGGCUUUCCCACGCGUUUUUGCCUCUCCGGCGUCAAAAGAUCGGCCCAGUCGUGUCUCCAGUAGCCCGUUUUUCGCCGGUUU
RNAcentral lists this long non-coding RNA (5329 nucleotides) under Triticum aestivum (bread wheat). RNAcentral's name for it is "long non-coding RNA (TAES_LNC010585)". The record is from RNAcentral. Lineage: Eukaryota; Viridiplantae; Streptophyta; Magnoliopsida; Poales; Poaceae.